UGGGAUGGACGGUCGCGGAAGUUCUCAUAGGGCUUCUGAGGAAAGUCCGGGCUCCACUAGGGCAGGGUGCUGGAUAACGUCCAGUAGGGGUAACCUUCAGGAUAGUGCCACAGAAAUGUUAGACCGCCUUCUAUGUUCUCGGGGUUCGGUUGGAGCUUCUGGGAGGUUCGUUGGGGAUUCUUUUGAGAGUUCAGAGCGAGCGCUCUAGGUUUUUAAACGAGCCCAACAGAUUCAUUUUAAGGAUCUGGAGGAAUCGGAAGGCAAGGGUGCAACGGCGGGGUAAGAGCCCACCGGCAGUGCGGAGACGUGCUGGCCAGGUAAACCCCACUCGGAGCAAGACCAGCAGGGGGUGUCUUCUCGCAAGGGAAGGCCCGGCGGCCCGUCGGAUCCCUCCUCAAUAGGUCGCUAGAGGAAUAUGGCAACAUAUUUCACAGAUAAAUGAUCGUCGCCUGUUCUCUUGCAGAGCAGGUACAGAACCCGGCUUACAGUCCCGC
Molecule: RNase P RNA, 494 nt
Filed under: bovine gut metagenome
Description: Bacterial RNase P class A
Rfam family: Bacterial RNase P class A
About the family: Ribonuclease P (RNase P) is a ubiquitous endoribonuclease, found in archaea, bacteria and eukarya as well as chloroplasts and mitochondria. Its best characterised activity is the generation of mature 5'-ends of tRNAs by cleaving the 5'-leader elements of precursor-tRNAs. Cellular RNase Ps are ribonucleoproteins.
Source: RNAcentral